CAAAAUUGUUUAAAAAGGCAGAAAACUGUGUCUAAGUUUUCUUCUGGACUUUCUGUGACUGUUAAUAAUACUACCAUGUCAGUAAAUAUCAAAUCAGGAAAAUAUCAAGUUCAUAGAGGAGUAAUGCUAUCACCCUGAGAACUGUGAGAAUCCUAGUGUGUCUAGGAUAAAUAACAAGAUUGAAAUGGCACUGCCUAGACAGG
Molecule: long non-coding RNA, 203 nt
Filed under: Mytilus galloprovincialis (Mediterranean mussel)
Lineage: Eukaryota; Metazoa; Mollusca; Bivalvia; Mytilida; Mytilidae
Source: RNAcentral